RNAcentral lists this ribosomal RNA (695 nucleotides) under Klebsiella sp. EPRN2. RNAcentral's name for it is "bacterial SSU rRNA". It matches the Rfam family "Bacterial small subunit ribosomal RNA", at positions 63 to 749 of the family's 1533-position model. Lineage: Bacteria; Pseudomonadati; Pseudomonadota; Gammaproteobacteria; Enterobacterales; Enterobacteriaceae. The record is from RNAcentral.
CGAGCGGUAGCACAGAGAGCUUGCUCUCGGGUGACGAGCGGCGGACGGGUGAGUAAUGUCUGGGAAACUGCCUGAUGGAGGGGGAUAACUACUGGAAACGGUAGCUAAUACCGCAUAACGUCGCAAGACCAAAGUGGGGGACCUUCGGGCCUCAUGCCAUCAGAUGUGCCCAGAUGGGAUUAGCUAGUAGGUGGGGUAACGGCUCACCUAGGCGACGAUCCCUAGCUGGUCUGAGAGGAUGACCAGCCACACUGGAACUGAGACACGGUCCAGACUCCUACGGGAGGCAGCAGUGGGGAAUAUUGCACAAUGGGCGCAAGCCUGAUGCAGCCAUGCCGCGUGUGUGAAGAAGGCCUUCGGGUUGUAAAGUACUUUCAGCGGGGAGGAAGGCGAUAAGGUUAAUAACCUUGUCGAUUGACGUUACCCGCAGAAGAAGCACCGGCUAACUCCGUGCCAGCAGCCGCGGUAAUACGGAGGGUGCAAGCGUUAAUCGGAAUUACUGGGCGUAAAGCGCACGCAGGCGGUCUGUCAAGUCGGAUGUGAAAUCCCCGGGCUCAACCUGGGAACUGCAUUCGAAACUGGCAGGCUAGAGUCUUGUAGAGGGGGGUAGAAUUCCAGGUGUAGCGGUGAAAUGCGUAGAGAUCUGGAGGAAUACCGGUGGCGAAGGCGGCCCCCUGGACAAAGACUGACGCUCA